This 392-nucleotide ribosomal RNA is filed under the name uncultured bacterium. RNAcentral describes it as "bacterial SSU rRNA". It matches the Rfam family "Bacterial small subunit ribosomal RNA", at positions 29 to 417 of the family's 1533-position model. The record is from RNAcentral.
AGCGAACGUUUGCGGCGGGCUUAACACAUGCAAGUCGAACGGGCUGUUCCUUCGGGGGCAGUCAGUGGCGCACGGGUGCGUAACACGUAGGUAAUCAACCCUCUGGUUGGGGAUAACACUUCGAAAGGAGUGCUAAUACCCGGUAUGGCGCAGCGGUCUUCGGAUCGCGGCGAGAAAGACCCGCAAGGGUUGCCAGAGGACGAGCCUGCGGCCCAUCAGCUAGUUGGCGAGGUAACGGCUCACCAAGGCGAAGACGGGUAGCUGGUCUGAGAGGAUGAUCAGCCACACUGGAGCUGAGACACGGUCCAGACUCCUACGGGAGGCAGCAGUGGGGAAUAUUGCGCAAUGGGCGAAAGCCUGACGCAGCCACGCCGCGUGAGCGAUGAAGGCCU